AUGGCGGCAGUCCGAAGCGCAGCCAUCUCCGCUGCCGCAGUCGUUGCGCCGCGCGGCUUUGGCAGGCGCCGUCGUCUUGUCCCCUGCUUCGCGGCGCCUGCACGAGGCGCAUCAGGAGUCACCGCCUCCGCUUCCGGGAAGAUGCUCCCGCGCUCUGCCCUACAUGCUAGCGCCUCCACCACUGGGGCGCCCGACUCCGACGAGGCCGCUGCGUUCCUUGUGCAGGAAUCUUUGGUGGAGGCGGAGCUGAGCAAACUCGCCUGCCCAAUCUGCUAUUACCCGCUCGUAAGCUCGAUAGAUCAUCAGUCAGCGCCAUCCAAAUCCGAUUCUACCCUUGAAUGUUCUACCUGCAAGAAAUUGUUCUCUAAGGAUGAUUACUGGGAUCUGACUGUGGCAGUUGGUUCUACUGAGUACUCCGAGACCAUGCCUGCUGCAACUGAGCUUUUCAGGACCCAACUGGUAUCAUUUCUUUAUGAGAGAGGAUGGCGCCAAAAUUUCAUAUGGGGUGGUUUUCCAGGCUUAGAGAAAGAGUUUGAGAUGGCUAAGGAUUAUUUGAAGCCAAAAAGUGGAGGGAUUAUAAUUGAUGCAAGCUGUGGAAGUGGGUUAUUUUCAAGAUUAUUUGUUAAAAGCGAACUAUAUUGCCUUGUUGUGGCACUAGAUUUCUCAGAGAAUAUGUUGAAGCAAUGCAAGGAAUUCAUCAAGCAGGAAAACAUUUCAGACGAACGCUUAGUAUUGGUGAGAGCUGAUAUAUCUAGGCUUCCUUUUGUGAGUGGCUCAAUUGAUGCUCUGCAUGCAGGUGCUGCAAUUCAUUGUUGGCCAUCCCCAGCUUGUGCUGUUGCAGAAAUCAGUCGAGUCCUUCGCCCUGGGGGUGUUUUUGUUGGUUCUACUUUCAUAGCAGAUGUUCUUCCACCAGUAAUCCCAUUACUGAGGAUUGGACGCCCGUACAUUGAUCAAAUCACAGGCAAUAAUACCUUCUUAUCAGAGCUGGAGCUUGAAGAUCUUUGUAGUGCAUGUGGGCUGGUUAAUUUUACAUUUGUCAGAAAUGGAUUCUAUAUAAUGUUCUCUGCUACUAAAGCAAGCUAG
RNAcentral lists this ribosomal RNA (1083 nucleotides) under Triticum aestivum (bread wheat). RNAcentral describes it as "partial small subunit ribosomal RNA". Lineage: Eukaryota; Viridiplantae; Streptophyta; Magnoliopsida; Poales; Poaceae. The record is from RNAcentral.